Molecule: long non-coding RNA, 391 nt
Organism: Rattus rattus (black rat)
Lineage: Eukaryota; Metazoa; Chordata; Mammalia; Rodentia; Muridae
Exons: 4
Source: RefSeq, a predicted model, not a curated record
UUUCUUUUGAUUCUUCUAGGUAACUUUUAAAGCAUCCAGAUACUCACUUUCCCCAGAUUUAAAAUAUGUUCUCCUGGCAUAUGACGUCAAGCAGAUUUUUCAUUACUCAUUUACCGCUUCAUAUUUGAUUUACAACAUACACACUGGGGAAGUGUGGGAGUUGAAUCCCCCAGAAGUUGAGGACUCAGUGUUGCAGUAUGCGGCCUGGGGUGUGCAAGGACAGCAGCUGAUUUAUAUUUUUGAAAACAAUAUCUACUAUCAACCUGAUAUCAAGAGCAGUUCUUUACGACUGACAUCUUCAGGAAAAGAAGGGAUUGUUUUUAAUGGGAUUGCUGAUUGGUUAUAUGAAGGUGAGUUGCAAAAUUAUAAUUUCUAAAGGGCAAAAUGGCAU